Molecule: transfer RNA, 73 nt
Filed under: Stegodyphus mimosarum
Lineage: Eukaryota; Metazoa; Arthropoda; Arachnida; Araneae; Eresidae
Rfam family: tRNA
About the family: Transfer RNA (tRNA) molecules are approximately 80 nucleotides in length. Their secondary structure includes four short double-helical elements and three loops (D, anti-codon, and T loops). Further hydrogen bonds mediate the characteristic L-shaped molecular structure. tRNAs have two regions of fundamental functional importance: the anti-codon, which is responsible for specific mRNA codon recognition, and the 3' end, to which the tRNAs corresponding amino acid is attached (by aminoacyl-tRNA synthetases). tRNAs cope with the degeneracy of the genetic code in two manners: having more than one tRNA (with a specific anti-codon) for a particular amino acid; and 'wobble' base-pairing, i.e. permitting non-standard base-pairing at the 3rd anti-codon position.
Source: Rfam by way of RNAcentral
ACCUUCGUGGUGUAAUGGUCAGCACACUCGUCGUGUAUUCGAGAGGUCCGUGGUUCGAGUCCUGGUGAAAGAA